CUCCCGUAACGAGUCUGGGCCGUGUCUCAGUCCCAGUGUGGCCGAUCACCCUCUCAGGUCGGCUAUGUAUCGUUGCCUUGGUGAGCCGUUACCUCACCAACUAGCUAAUACAACGCAGGUCCAUCUGGUAGUGGUGCAAUUGCACCUUUCAAGCAGCUAUCAUGCGAUAUCUACUCUUAUGCGGUAUUAGCUAUCGUUUCCAAUAGUUAUCCCCCGCUACCAGGCAGGUUACCUACGCGUUACUCACCCGUUCGCAACUCAUCCGGAAAGAGCAAGCUCCUCCUUCAGCGUUCUACUUGCAUGUAUUAGGCACGCCGCCAGCGUUCGUCCUGAGCCAGGAUCAAACUCUAAUCGAAUUCCCGCUGCCACA
RNAcentral lists this ribosomal RNA (370 nucleotides) under Streptococcus mitis. RNAcentral's name for it is "partial 16S ribosomal RNA". The record is from RNAcentral. Lineage: Bacteria; Bacillati; Bacillota; Bacilli; Lactobacillales; Streptococcaceae.